This 468-nucleotide ribosomal RNA is filed under the name uncultured bacterium. Its description in RNAcentral is "partial 16S ribosomal RNA". It matches the Rfam family "Bacterial small subunit ribosomal RNA", at positions 28 to 507 of the family's 1533-position model. The record is from RNAcentral.
GACGAACGCUGGCGGCGUGCUUAACACAUGCAAGUCGAACGGAAAGGCCCUGCUCUUGUGGGGUUCUCGAGUGGCGAACGGGUGAGUAACACGUGAGUAACCUGCACUUGACUUUGGGAUAACUUCAGGAAACUCGGGCUAAUACCGGAUAGAAUCUCCUGCUGCACGGUGGGGGUUGGAAAGUUUCGGCGGUUGGGGAUGGAAUCGCGGCUUAUCAGCUUGUUGGGCGGGUAGGGGCUUCCCAAGGCCUUGACGGGUAGCCUGCCUGAGAGGGUGAGCGGGCACAUUGGGACUAAGAGAGGGCACAGACGCGAACGGGAGGCAGCGGUGGGGAGUAUGGCAGAGUGGGGGGAAGCGAGAUGUAGAAGUGCCGGGUGCGGAAUGCCGGGUUUCGGGUUGUAAACAGCUUUGGCAUGAGAUGAGCAGGGAGUGACGGUAAUGGGUAAGGAAGCACCGGCUAACUACGUG